This is a long non-coding RNA of Sarcophilus harrisii (Tasmanian devil), 499 nucleotides long. RefSeq lists it as uncharacterized. The transcript has 3 exons. The record is from RefSeq and is a predicted model, not a curated record. Lineage: Eukaryota; Metazoa; Chordata; Mammalia; Dasyuromorphia; Dasyuridae.
UAUCCCACAAUCCCACUCUCAGAGAAGUAGCAUAAAUACAGCUCCAGUAAGCCACUCGAAAGUGUUUCUGGGGAACAUCGACUGGGGUCAGAGACAAAGCACUCUGGGAGAUACAGAAGCCUAUUUGCCUCAGUUGGAGAUUGAGAAGCCACGAGUCAGAGUUGAACUGGAGGCGAUAAAGGACAAAGAUGCAAGAUCUCUUGUAACCAAGCAGAGAGAUAGGCCUCUGAGAGGAAAAAAAUGCAAAGACUUAACAAAUUGCAGGAGUUAUUCAGAAACAGAAAUCAAAAAGUGGUUCAAUUUUCUUGAUUGCAUAUUCUCCUGACAAGAUAUAAAAGAAAAAAGAUAAGAGCUGAUGGGAGAAAAUUGGAGAGAAGGAGAAAAGAAAAGGGGACUAAGAAAUGGAUAGGUACAAUGAAGUAGAUGCCAGCCAGACUGAAAGGAAAGAAAGACAUGAUAUAUGGGAUCAAUAAAGUUUGAAAUUAAAGUUUCAGAAUGC